UUUCCGUAGGUGAACCUGCGGAAGGAUCAUUAUGAAUUUACCCAACCAACCAACCUGUGCGAAUGUUGCGUGGUGCCCGGGAGCGAUCCCGGGCGCCGCUGCGCACGUCCUACACACACGAUGUCGAUUGUCAGAGGUACGUAUCGCGCUAACACGCAAACAACUUUUAACAAUGGAUCUCUUGGCUCUU
Molecule: unclassified non-coding RNA, 190 nt
Filed under: soil metagenome
Description: partial contains small subunit ribosomal RNA, internal transcribed spacer 1, and 5.8S ribosomal RNA
Source: RNAcentral